RNAcentral lists this ribosomal RNA (225 nucleotides) under Triticum aestivum (bread wheat). RNAcentral's name for it is "partial small subunit ribosomal RNA". The record is from RNAcentral. Lineage: Eukaryota; Viridiplantae; Streptophyta; Magnoliopsida; Poales; Poaceae.
AUGAAAGACGGUACCUGGCGCUUUUGCAUUGAUUAUAGGCAUCUCAAUGCCAUGACAUACAUCGGAAGGUUCCCCAUUCCGGUGAUAGAUGAACUGCUUGAUGAGCUCCACGGUGCGGUUUGGUUUUCAAAGCUUGACUUACGUGCUGGGUAUCACCAGAUACGCUUGGCUGAGGGUGAGGAGUACAAAACGGUGUUUCAAACACACUCCGGCCAUUAUGAGUAA